GUGCCUAAGGUAUGCAAGUCGAACGAUUCCUGUAUCUUCGGAUACAGGGAGUGGCAAACGGCUGAGUAACGCGUAGGAACCUACCCCAAACUCGAGUAUAGCCCCGCGAAAGCGGGGGUAAUCCUCGAUAGCCCGUGAAGUAUUUUACUUCACGGUAAAGCUUUUGCGGUUUGGGAUGGGCCUGCGUCCUAUCAGGUAGUUGGUGAGGUAAAUGCUCACCAAGCCUACGACGGGUAGCUGGUCUGAGAGGAUGGUCAGCCAGACUGGGACUGCGACACGGCCCAGACUCCUACGGGAGGCAGCAACUAGGAAUUGUGCGCAAUGGACGAAAGUCUGACGCCGCGACAUCGCGUGGAGGAUGAAGGUCUUCGGAUUGUAAACUCCUUUUCUUACCGAACAAGUUCUGAGUGUAGGUAAGGAAUAAGUGCCUGCUAACCACGUGCCAGAAGCAUCGGUAAUACGUGGGGCACGAGCGUUAUCCGGAUUUACUGGGCGUAAAGAGAAGCGUAGGCGGCUCAAUAAGUUUGGUGUUAAAUCUUCCGGCUCAACCGGAAACAAGCACCGAAAACUAUCGAGAUUGAGUCGAGUAGGGAAGAGGGGAAUUCCUGGUGGAGCGGUUAAAUGCGUAGAUAUCAGGAGGAAUACCAAGGGCGAAGGCACCUCUUUGGACUCGUACUGACGCUGAGGCUCGAAAGCGUGGGUAGCAAAACGGAUUAGAUACCCGUGUAGUCCACGCCGUAAACGAUCCCUGUUAGAUGU
RNAcentral lists this ribosomal RNA (759 nucleotides) under uncultured organism. Its description in RNAcentral is "bacterial SSU rRNA". It matches the Rfam family "Bacterial small subunit ribosomal RNA", at positions 44 to 823 of the family's 1533-position model. The record is from RNAcentral.